UGCAUUCCACUAUUCAUCAUCUUCUUCAUUUCUCCCCACUUCUCAAAUCCCAUUCCUUUCAUGAUUAAGCAAGAAAUAAAUCAAGAACUCGAAAUCUCCCUCACCCCUACUAAAAUUCUUCUCAUUUUGCCAUGGAAAUCGACAGUUGACCCCAUAUUUGCCCUAAGAUUCGAACCUAACAAAAACACAACCCUCCUCUAAAUUCGAUAGUCAGAUUCAAAUGUUAGGGUUCUUAAUGUUCGAAAUCCAAGCAACAACCAUUUUCCUCCAUAAACAUAUGAAAUCGAGUACAAUCUCCAUGUCUUGCGUUUUCCUUUUGAAAUUCGAACAUAGCCUUCCCAAUCCACCUUCCUCUGAGUUCGAAUCAUAAGGACAACAACCCGCAGCCCUUCUUCUGAAAUUUCAAAAUAAAUUGUUGGUAAUUUCGCUGAUCUUGUUCGAAAACAACCCCCUCUUUUUCCCCUCCGUUCGCAUCUGUUUCUGUCGAACAAGGGGUUGUACUGCAACCCUUCUUGGCAAAACAAACCCCAUUUGUUAAUUCCCUAAUUGUUCUUGAUGUUCCUUUGAAAGCAAACCUCCAUGGAUUCUAAUUCUUUUUGGUAAGUUCACAUCGGGUUGGUUCGACAACAGUAGGCAGCAGCCUUGCUGCGUUCUUUUGAUUCGAAAAUCAGCAGGCCAGGCAACAAUGUUCCUUUGUGUUUCUAAACCGAAAAUGCAAGGAGGAGACGAUUUCUCGGAGGAACCAUUCUAGCUGAUAUUUGUGAAUCGAACCCACCUCUUUGAAGCGUCGUCUUUGUUUGAUCACAGAUCGGAACCGGUCGGAAACGAUGGGUUAGCGGUGUUAAAUAGCGUUCCAAGGAUGUAUAUUGAGCUGAGCACGUAGGAAUUUGUAGAUUUGUAUUAGGAUUUUGGAUAAAUGUAUAUUAGAUUUGGUUGUGUUGGUUAUAUUGGACUUGUAGAGAAUUGUAUGAUUAUCUUGUGUUUUAGUUAGAUGUUGGUUUUGAGAUUUAGCUGAGUUAGUCACGUUGAAGAGCUUGUGACCCCUUUGCUCGAGUUUUGGAAGUGUGAUUUAAAUUUCUUGGGAAAUUACCUCGUGAUGACCCUGUUUACUCAAUUAACGGUAACUCGGGUUGUUACAAUUACCGAGCUAUGUUCGUUCUUCAACACAAUUUGUAGUAAAGUUCUUAAUCCCUUUAAACUUGAUGCUCUUCAAGUCGACGUGAUUGUAACUUUAUGCAAGUUUGAGAUGUAUUUUCCACUUUCUUUAUUUGACAUAAUGGUUCAUCUUAUUGUCCAUCUCGUUCGUGAGAUCAAGCUUUUGUGUCCAGUUUUUUUAAGGUGGUGUUAUCCUUUUGAAAGACACAUGGGUGUUUUACAAAACAAGGUGAGGAAUCCAGCACAACCCGAGGGGAGUAUGAUUCAAGGCACUGUGAGCGAUGAGAUUAGUAACUUUAUAGCCGAGUAUUUGGCCAUGGCAAAGCCUAUUGGACUUCCCAAGACAGCCUUCUACAAGCACACUUGUAUGUGUUGCAUCAUAUUCCGGAAGUUCAUCCUUUUUGAGUGAGCAUCUUGAUAUAUUGCGCGCAAAACAUCCUUCUAAAGGGGAUAGGGCAUUGAUGCAGCUGCAUAACAAGACGUUUAUUAAUUGGUUUCAUAAUCGAGUAAUAUGCGAAGAACUCAAGGGUGUAUCCGACAGUGUUAAGUGGUUAGUUUUUGGUCCUCGUGAUGAUGUCAACAAAUAUGAGGGUUACGAUGUCAAUGGGUUCACAUUUUAGACUGAGGGUCAAGACAAAAAGUCAUCUUAUCUACAGAAUAGUGGGGUUUCUAUUUUGGCGUCAUCUACAUUUUAUGCGAUUUUAAGGGUUUUUAAGUGUUUUUGGCACUUUUGCGCAUAAAGUAGCUCAAACUUGGUUUGUUUCGCACGAAACUUGGCACACAACACUAUUUGGUAUAUAUUAUUGGUUGAAGUGGUUAGAAUUGAAAAUCAUAGCCAUAUGCUAGAAAUUACGUGUUAAGUUGCGAUUUUAUGCGUUUUUAAGCUUUUUUGGCACAUUCGCGCAUAAAGUAGCUCAAACUUGGUUUAUUUUGCACGAAACAUUGCACACAACACUAUUUGGUAUAUAUUAUUUUGUUGAAGUGGUUAGAAUUGAAAAUCAUAGUCAUAUACUAGAAAUUACGUGUUAAAUUGUGAUUUUAUGCGUUUUUAAGCUUUUUUGGCACUUUCGCGCAUAAAGUAGCUCAAACUUGGUUUGUUUUGCACGAAACUUGGCACACAACACUAUUUCGU
Long non-coding RNA from Amaranthus tricolor (Joseph's coat), 2287 nucleotides. RefSeq lists it as uncharacterized. NCBI's taxonomy places the organism in Eukaryota, Viridiplantae, Streptophyta, Magnoliopsida, Caryophyllales, Amaranthaceae. The record is from RefSeq and is a predicted model, not a curated record. The transcript is spliced from 3 exons.